Boleophthalmus pectinirostris (great blue-spotted mudskipper) is the source of this 127-nucleotide small nucleolar RNA. Lineage: Eukaryota; Metazoa; Chordata; Actinopteri; Gobiiformes; Gobiidae. The record is from RefSeq and is a predicted model, not a curated record.
AUGCACAGUUCAUUGUCCUGCUCCUCUUCUGUUUGGAACAGUGAUAUUUCUUCUGUGCUAAAGUAACAUGGAGGUCAAUUAGCAGAGCGGCUAAUGUGCUUCCUCUGCCAGUCCCCUUCAGACACUA